UACGUAGGGUGCGAGCGUUAAUCGGAAUUACUGGGCGUAAAGCGUGCGCAGGCGGUUAUGUAAGACAGAUGUGAAAUGCCCGGGCUUAACCUGGGAACUGCAUUUGUGACUGCAUGGCUAGAGUGCGGCAGAGGGGGAUGGAAUUCCGCGUGUAGCAGUGAAAUGCGUAGAUAUGCGGAGGAACACCGAUGGCGAAGGCAAUCCCCUGGGCCUGCACUGACGCUCAUGCACGAAAGCGUGGGGAGCAAACAGG
This 253-nucleotide ribosomal RNA is filed under the name uncultured bacterium. RNAcentral's name for it is "partial 16S ribosomal RNA". It matches the Rfam family "Bacterial small subunit ribosomal RNA", at positions 524 to 776 of the family's 1533-position model. The record is from RNAcentral.